Molecule: ribosomal RNA, 256 nt
Filed under: uncultured bacterium
Lineage: Bacteria
Description: partial 16S ribosomal RNA
Rfam family: Bacterial small subunit ribosomal RNA
Source: RNAcentral
UACGUAGGGUGCGAGCGUUAAUCGGAAUUACUGGGCGUAAAGCGUGCGCAGGCGGUCUGUUAAGACCGAUGUGAAAUCCCCGGGCUUAACCUGGGAACUGCAUUGGUGACUGGCAGGCUUUGAGUGUGGCAGAGGGAGGUAGGAAUUCCACGUGUAGCAGUGAAAUGCGUAGAGAUGCGGAGGAACACCGAUGGCGAAGGCAGCCCCCCUGGGCUAACACUGACGCUCAGGCACGAAAGCGUGGGGAGCAAACAGG